GAUGAACGCUGGCGGCGUGCUUAACACAUGCAAGUCGAACGGAAAGGCUCCUGCUUGCAGGGGUACUCGAGUGGCGAACGGGUGAGUAACACGUGGGUGAUCUGCCCUGCACUUCGGGAUAAGCCUGGGAAACUGGGUCUAAUACCGGAUAGGACGAUGGUUUGGAUGCCAUUGUGGAAAGUUUUUUCGGUGUGGGAUGAGCUCGCGGCCUAUCAGCUUGUUGGUGGGGUAAUGGCCUACCAAGGCGUCGACGGGUAGCCGGCCUGAGAGGGUGUACGGCCACAUUGGGACUGAGAUACGGCCCAGACUCCUACGGGGGGCAGCAGGGGGGAAUAUUGCACAAUGGGCGCAAGCCUGAUGCAGCGACGCCGCGUGGGGGAUGACGGCCUUCGGGUUGUAAACUCCUUUCGCUAGGGACGAAGCGCAAGUGACGGUACCUGGAGAAGAAGCACCGGCUAACUACGUG
RNAcentral lists this ribosomal RNA (466 nucleotides) under uncultured bacterium. Its description in RNAcentral is "partial 16S ribosomal RNA". It matches the Rfam family "Bacterial small subunit ribosomal RNA", at positions 28 to 507 of the family's 1533-position model. The record is from RNAcentral.